RNAcentral lists this long non-coding RNA (259 nucleotides) under Gossypium barbadense (sea-island cotton). RNAcentral's name for it is "long non-coding RNA (GBAR_LNC014095)". The record is from RNAcentral. Lineage: Eukaryota; Viridiplantae; Streptophyta; Magnoliopsida; Malvales; Malvaceae.
UCGUCCUCUAUAUCAAUUAUGUAAAAGUCCGCAGGAAAUAUUAGUUGAUUUGCCUUAACGAGGACAUCUUCUAUCACCCCAUCUAGAUGUACACAUGAUAUGUCUACCAAUUGAAUAAACACCCCUGUUUCUUUCAAAGGACCCUUGUUUAGCAAUUUAAUAAUCGAUAUAGGAAUUACGUUAAUAAAUGCUCCCAAAUCACACGUCUUUCUUUAUGCCAAUAUUUCCUAUUUUGUAGGAUAUAGAAAGUAUACAUUGG